Spodoptera frugiperda (fall armyworm) is the source of this 1160-nucleotide long non-coding RNA. RefSeq lists it as uncharacterized. The record is from RefSeq and is a predicted model, not a curated record. The transcript is spliced from 2 exons. NCBI's taxonomy places the organism in Eukaryota, Metazoa, Arthropoda, Insecta, Lepidoptera, Noctuidae.
AGUUAAUAAUAUAAAGUAAUUAAGCCACAUAAGUUACAGAUUGUUACCUUAUGUUAUGUUGCAUUUUGUUGCUCCACAAAAGUUAACUGCGGUGUGGAUACACGGUAAGGCGAUUAAGAAUAUCGAGAAGAAACAAGAACUGCAGUUAUGGGUCGACCGAUAUGGGUAUUCUGAAAACAUGAAAUAUAGAAUCACGUCGAAGACGUGAAAUAAAUCCAAAGAUGAUUUCAUUGUGUAGCCACUAGUACCCUAUUGUGCCUGAACGCAAGGCGGAUUCGAGUUAUUUCCAAUACUUUAUUCUCCACGCGCGUGACAACGCGUGCCUAAUUUUCAAUCUGUGAUAUCACCUUCAUUCUGCUGGCUGCGUAUUGCAGCAAGUCGGCACUAAUCUUAAGAAUUACAAAAAUCUGUAAUAGCUCAUCGAUAAAGGAAACCCGAUGUCAUUUUGGCUACAAUAAAACAUUAGAUAAGUUGGAUGACGGUGAGACGUAAAAUAUUGUGGUCCAGAAACAUGUGCGGUCUAAUAGGACUGACUUUUCUGAUAGUGAACGAAUUAUUUAAUUAUUUAGCAGAUAAUUGCUAGCCUUAUUAAUAUAGCGACAACAUUAAUAAUUGUUGAACAAGGUGAACCAAAACAUUUAGUAGUAACUGAAAAUAUGUUGUCGAAAUUUGCAUUUUUGUAUACUACUAGGAACAUAGAAAGGUCUAGAGGAAACGGAAAAGUGAUGUUAUUGUCAUCCUAUUGUUUUACGUGUCUGUUUGAUUACUCAUUAAACAUGAUUGCCUUCUUAUUUCUUUAAAAAAUAAAUUAUUUGUAAAAAACAUAUUAUUUUAUUUACAAUCUGAACUUUUUGUAGUUAAGAAAAAAGAAGUUUCGUCGAAACUUCGCAAAUUUCUUACCACAUACUACAUUUAUUGCGAACUUUCGUGAAUAAAUAUGAACGAAUGAAAUGAAACUUAUGACGGGAUAUUUACCAUGUUUAUUCACUUCGAUGGAUUGCGAUAUUUCGGCACUGUUGCAAGCGCCAUGAUCACGUCAUGAUGAUUAUCAUCAUCAUCAUCCGUGAAUAAACAUAGUAAAUAUCCCGUCAUAAGUUCUAAUAAUAGUGUUAGUGACUAUGUCUGUUUAAAAACUUAUAUGAAUAAAAUGAAGAUAAAUA